GAUGAACGCUGGCGGCGUGCCUAAUACAUGCAAGUCGAACGCACAGCGAAAGGUGCUUGCACCUUUCAAGUGAGUGGCGAACGGGUGAGUAACACGUGGACAACCUGCCUCAAGGCUGGGGAUAACAUUUGGAAACAGAUGCUAAUACCGAAUAAAACUUAGUGUCGCAUGACACAAAGUUAAAAGGCGCUUCGGCGUCACCUAGAGAUGGAUCCGCGGUGCAUUAGUUAGUUGGUGGGGUAAAGGCCUACCAAGACAAUGAUGCAUAGCCGAGUUGAGAGACUGAUCGGCCACAUUGGGACUGAGACACGGCCCAAACUCCUACGGGAGGCUGCAGUAGGGAAUCUUCCACAAUGGGCGAAAGCCUGAUGGAGCAACGCCGCGUGUGUGAUGAAGGCGUUCGGGUCGUAAAGCACUGUUGUAUGGGAAGAACAGCUAGAAUAGGAAAUGAUUUUAGUUUGACGGUACCAGACCAGAAAGGGACGGCUAAAUACGUG
RNAcentral lists this ribosomal RNA (497 nucleotides) under uncultured bacterium. RNAcentral's name for it is "partial 16S ribosomal RNA". It matches the Rfam family "Bacterial small subunit ribosomal RNA", at positions 28 to 507 of the family's 1533-position model. The record is from RNAcentral.